AAGUCGUAACAAGGUUUCCGUAGGUGAACCUGCGGAAGGAUCAUUAUUGUAAUAUAAUCCUUACCGUAAACAAAAAAAUAAAAAAAACAAAAUAAAAUUAUAUAUAUGGUUAUAAAUUAUAUGUUUUACAUAUAUAUAUAUAAAAAAAGCAUUUUUUCGUUGUACUUAAUUUUAUAUAUAUUUAUAAAAUAUAAGUUAAUGUUAUAUUAAAAUAAAGUUUCUUUAUGAUAAUAUAACUAAGACAUUCGCAACAUGAGAAAUGCUAUAAAAACAUUUAUUGAAAGGGAAUAUAAUAUUAAAUUAAUGCCAUUUAUUUGGUGUUAUAUUUAAUAUCUCUUUCAGUAAAAUAAUAUAUAAAUGACAUUAUGUAAUAUAUUUAAAAAUUAAAGAUCACUCUAAGCGGUGGAUCACUCGGCUCAU
Molecule: unclassified non-coding RNA, 420 nt
Filed under: air metagenome
Description: partial contains small subunit ribosomal RNA, internal transcribed spacer 1, and 5.8S ribosomal RNA
Rfam family: Eukaryotic small subunit ribosomal RNA (bases 1-46)
Source: RNAcentral